UAAGCGUGAAGUGAAGCACAUAAACCUGCUGAAUUUAAGCAUAUAAGUAAGUGGUGGAAAUUAAACCAAUUUCACGUCAUCACGAAACGCCGCGGACGAGACUCGUGAUACGGCUAUUUUUUAUAGGUAAUGCCAUGAUAUAUGAUCCUAGACGUCAGUGACUGUCGGACAAUUGGCCGACCUAUUGUAGUUCCGAGACACUUUCAAG
Molecule: ribosomal RNA, 208 nt
Filed under: Alexandrium tamarense
Lineage: Eukaryota; Dinophyceae; Gonyaulacales; Pyrocystaceae
Description: partial 28S ribosomal RNA
Source: RNAcentral